GCGGGAAUAGCUCAGUUGGUAGAGCGCAACCUUGCCAAGGUUGAGGUCGCGAGUUCGAGUCUCGUUUCCCGCUCCA
This 76-nucleotide transfer RNA is filed under the name Vitreoscilla sp. Its description in RNAcentral is "tRNA-Gly". It matches the Rfam family "tRNA". Rfam says of the family: Transfer RNA (tRNA) molecules are approximately 80 nucleotides in length. Their secondary structure includes four short double-helical elements and three loops (D, anti-codon, and T loops). Lineage: Bacteria; Pseudomonadati; Pseudomonadota; Betaproteobacteria; Neisseriales; Neisseriaceae. The record is from RNAcentral. RNAcentral also lists the same sequence under 1065 other names.